GAUGAACGCUGGCGGCGUGCCUAAUACAUGCCAGUCGAGCGAACGGACGAGAAGCUUGCUUCUCUGAUGUUAGCGGCGGACGGGUGAGUAACAUGUGGAUAACCUACCUAUAAGACUGGGAUAACUUCGGGAAACCGGAGCUAAUACCGGAUAAUAUUUUGAACCGCAUGGUUCAAAAGUAAAAGACGGUCUUGCUGUCACUUAUAGAUGGAUCCGCGCUGCAUUAGCUAGUUGGUAAGGUAACGGCUUACCAAGGCAACGAUGCAUAGCCGACCUGAGAGGGUGAUCGGCCACACUGGAACUGAGACACGGUCCAGACUCCUACGGGAGGCAGCAGUAGGGAAUCUUCCGCAAUGGGCGAAAGCCUGACGGAGCAACGCCGCGUGAGUGAUGAAGGUCUUCGGAUCGUAAAACUCUGUUAUUAGGGAAGAACAUAUGUGUAAGUAACUGUGCACAUCUUGACGGUACCUAAUCAGAAAGCCACGGCUAACUACGUG
RNAcentral lists this ribosomal RNA (497 nucleotides) under uncultured bacterium. RNAcentral describes it as "partial 16S ribosomal RNA". It matches the Rfam family "Bacterial small subunit ribosomal RNA", at positions 28 to 507 of the family's 1533-position model. The record is from RNAcentral.